UGCGGUCUUGCAUGAAUGAUGUAACGAUACAACAGCUGUCUCUAUGAUUGACUCAGUGAAAUUGGAAUAGCUGUGCAGAUACAGUUUACCUCUAGUUAGACGAGAAGACCCUAUGCAGCUUUACUGUUACUAAUUAUAGGGUAUGGUGGAGCAAUUAUCAGAUUAUAAGGUACAUUGGUUAAUAAAAAUGAAAAUCCUUUAUUUUCACACCAUACUUCAGAAUUAAUUCUUUUGGAACUUCAUUUGGUCCAAGGCCUCUGGCCUUAGCGACCUAGAUGGAGGAAAGGGGAAUUAACCUAGUCUGAUUAAAGCCUAAUGGUUAAGGAACUUAUUGUUAGGAGACAGUUUAUGUGGGGCACAGGCCCCUUAAAGAGUAAAAGGGAGUGUCUAAAAAUUAUUUGUUAUAAAUAUUAUAACGUUGUUUGUGGUUUUAUGUAGUUUUACUAUAUUUGAUCUUAUAAAAUUCUCUUUAUCUACCCUGGCUGUAGAUAGGGAUGAAUAUUAGGUACGAUUUUCACUAUAGUGAAAGUAGCGGUAUAAAAAAACAUUAUGAAACUUUUCUAAUGUUUUUUGAGUUAUUAAGAGUUGCUCUUAAUGAUAAUGAUGAAUACCUGAAAAGCUCAACGGCUAAUUCGUGCCUUACUGUUUGAUUAACAACAAAUCUUACAGUUGCGUAAGCAGGGCAUAGGAUCACAAGAUGCAAAAAGGA
This 709-nucleotide non-coding RNA is filed under the name Colletotrichum chlorophyti. Its description in RNAcentral is "Bacterial large subunit ribosomal RNA". It matches the Rfam family "Bacterial large subunit ribosomal RNA", at positions 1981 to 2437 of the family's 2925-position model. Lineage: Eukaryota; Fungi; Ascomycota; Sordariomycetes; Glomerellales; Glomerellaceae. The record is from Rfam by way of RNAcentral.